AAAAAAAAAAAAAAAAAAACUAAAUUUUUUGAAUAGAUGAUGUAAAAUUGAAAAUAUGUAUUAAAUUAACAAAAUAUUAAUAAAAAAAUAUAUACUAAACUUAAAUGACUUGGUCAAUUUUUGAAUUUGAAUGAGCCUGUGGUAGAAAUGGCCUAAAUAUGAAUUUGUUAUUUACCCAAAGUAACAAUUCAAACAGUCAAAUUUGGCAAAGACAUGAAGAAGUGUUACAGUAAAAAUGUAAUGCAACAAAUCCCACAUUGGUAAGAUGAAUACCGUGUCACAUGAACCUUUCUACAUAACAAGCUCAAAUCGAUAUCUUAAUUACGCACCCAUGCGGUAAGCACAUAGCGAACAAUUUUCUUUCGCCUUUUACUAAAGAAUACCGUGUGCCUGCCGCUCUAUUGUGGCAUACGCUUAUUUUUGGAGGGGUUGAUCUCACUGGAUAUCAGCCCCCAACCAAACCUAGUCCAAAUUAUCCCACUUAGGCCCAAUUUUUCGGCCCAUUAAAAGAUUCCAGCCCAAACCUAUGCUAGUGAUUGAUGUUUACUUGUACUUGCACAACAAUGAAACGUAAAAUAGGCAAAAUCAAUAGAGAAGUUCCAUAAAAUAGCUAGGAGCUUAAAACACCCCUGAAAUCAGAUUUACUAUAAUACCAUUAGGUUGUAAAGAUAUAUGGAAUAAUUUUAAUUGAGACUUGAUCACUAUUAGGGGUCAUUUUCUUCAAUUAAAUUUGUAAUUUAAUUUCAUUUGAAUUUGAAUUUAUUUAAUUUCAUAUGAAUUUGAAUUAAUUAUUAAAACCCAUCACUAUUUAAUUAGUUUUUUUUCUUCUUAAUUUUAAAUUCCAAGUGGACGAAACAAGGGAAAAGUCGUCCAUGACUAUACCCACUGUCUAAUUUCUUUUCCUUUUAAUUACUUUUCAAAUGAAUAUAUAUAUAUAUAUAUUUUUUUUUGAAAGAGUUCAAAUGAAUAUAUUUAUAUUCAUAAAAAUCUCUAAUUAGAAUCUUUUUGUCCUUGACGAAAAGGCCAAAUCAACUUGUGGAAAAUCUUGAAGACAUAAGCUGUUGGCGAUUGCAAUUAGCAGCCAUUUAACAAUUUCUUUCCAGUUGAGUAUUCAAUGUAUUUGAAUAUAUAUAUAUUUUUUACUCUAUAUAGUAAUAUGAUAUCAUAAGUUAGUGUUCGUAUCUUCGGCCAAAUUUAAUUUUUUAAUUUAUUAAAAAAAUUAUGUAAGAGGUUCUUCCAAGAAAAUACCUAAUAUUGAUGCAGGAGUAGGAAGUUUCCAUCCGCUUUGAUGGAACUGAACUGAGGAAGCAUUAUAUAAGCGCAAAUCACAGAACCGAAAAGCACAAGCAAAAGCGAAAAAAAAAAAGAAUUAGAAAAACGCAGUACCUACAAUUAAGAUGGAGAAGAUACGACUGGAUGCUUCAGCUUAUUACAGAAACUUGCCACCUGCAGAAAAGCAAAGGGUAAAGAUUGGGUUCAGUGCUUUGGAUAAAACUGGAAGUGGAAAAGUGAGCCUCAAGCAAUACUCGGAAUAUUUUAAACAAAGGGGGCUUGUAGAGCUUACUUAUCCCUAUUUGUUCAAAGCAUUGGAUACAAAUGGAGAUGGCAGACUCGAUUUCAAUGAAUAUAUCACUGUCUACUACCUCUGCAUGAACAAUAAGAUGAUAUUUUGUGAAGAAUGCGGGGUCUUUCUCUCUGGAUCCUACAUGAGUUGCCUUCAAUGCUUCGAUAAUGAUUCUGGGGAUCCCUAUAAUAUUUGUUAUGAUUGUUAUAACAGAAACAACAUUGAUCAUCAUAAGGAUGCUACCUUUGUCGAUGAUAUAAAACUCCAGUGCUUAGCAGUUAAAGGUUCUGCAGAUAACAAUGGCUCCACAACUCGAAGCUCCGGUGGUAAGGUACGUAUAUAUAAUAAAAUAUAGUUCUGUUACUCUUAGAAAUAUCAAACAACAAAUCUUCAUGCAUAUAAUAAUUAAGAUCCAUCUUGAUUUUUCAGAUAACUACGAGGGAUAAGCUUAGAACAGCUUUAUUAGUGGUCUCGGCGGUGAAAUUAGGAGUGGUUGCAUCAAGUUGUUCUGUCAUGUAAAAUGUAUAUUUUGCAGCCUUCAAAAAAAAAAGAGAGAGCUGUAUAACUUCAGUGCUUGGCUAUACCUCUUGUUGUUUUAAUUUCAUUUUAUAACUAGAUAAAGGCCCGCGCGCAACGUGUGAGAUUAUUUUAUUGUUAUUUUCCACUAUAAUCUUCUUGAUAAAUGAAAAUAAAUAGUUAUCGCUGCAGUCUAAUUUUUAAUAUUGUGAAUUUAAAUUUUAAAAGUGUACCAAUGUCUUGGCAUAAGUUGUCUAAUCUAAUCGUAAAUGAAAAUGAUAGAUAAGAAAACCGCUAAGGAAUAUAUCUGAGUAUUGUAUGUCCCCUACCAAAGAAAAUUACACAUUAUCCAAUAGGUUAAUAGGAUAAAUCAAUUAAAAAAAAGAUAAUGGUGGAAGAAAAGAGUGCCAAGUCAGAUUUUUAAUGAUAUUUUUUUAUUUUAGGAUUAUAUAAAUAUGUAGAAUACAUAUAGAUAAUAAAAUAUGCCAUUUUAAAUCAUAUUCAAGCAUAACAAAACAAAUUUUAAAAAUUUCAAUCAAAUUUAAAUUCCUUAAUAUUACUAAUUAAUUCACUUUUUUAUUCAAAUAUAAGUUUGAUAAUUUAAAUCCAUCGAUUUGAAAUUAAAAUAUUGAAUCUAAAAUUUUUAUUUGAUCUAUAAAUAUAACAAAAAAAAAAAAAAAAGAGAGAGAGAGAAUUUUCUAAGUUUGAAAAUUGAAUUUAUGCUCACAAAGAGGCUUCUUGCCCAUAUAUUGAGUUUGUCGCCAAUAAAGUAGUAACAAUUGCUGAUUAUAAGCUUCAUUUUAAUAUUUCCUUUGGAAUAGAAAAUUUGUAUGUUUAGACUUAAAUUAGUUCAUGUUGAACUUAGAAUAAAAAUAAAAAUGCAUGUUUAAAUUCAAAAAAUCAAUUUUAGUUUCCAUAUAGCUUAUAAAGUUUUUUUUUUAACUUAUAAAGUUAAAAAUUUAAAACCUAGAGUCAUUGUGUGUAUAUACAUAAGUGUGCCCUAAUUGCCGUUUCAACAAUUAUUUCUUUGUGUAAUAGAAUUGGAACCUUAGGCUCAAUUAUCAAUUGUUAGUCCUUAUGAUAGGAUAGGAUAGGAAAUGUCAGUGCUUUCGCAAGUGUACGAAAUCGCUACAAGUAAUAUAGAAUGAGUAGAGUAUCGUGUCCACAGUGAUUGUAUACCAAGUACCAAAAUUAUGUUAACCUACUAUUAUUUAAACGGCAAUAAGGGAUAUUAUUUUUAGAAACUAAAUUCAACAAAUAAAAGAGAAUAAGAAGAAAUCAAGCAACAAUAUUUGAUUAAAAUAAAUCAAGAAUUUAAAGCUAUCAAGGAUUUUGACUUCACUUAAUUCUAUCCAAUUUAUUUUAUUAGUUUGAUAAUCAAUUUUAAUUGUUCAAGUAGGGGAAACAACCCUAAAAUCAUAACAAGCUCUCCUGAUAUAUUGUUAGCUAUUUUAACCCGGUCUAAUUACCUAUCUUCCAAUAGCGCAAUCAAACAUGAAUUAAAUCAUUAAAUUUUAUGGUUUGUUUUGUGCAUUCAUAACUUAAGGUUAUUAACUUAUGAAAACCCCCCAUGAGUCAAACCAUAUAGCUUUCGCAUCAAGUUAUUAUUAUCAUGUAAUUUAUUACUUUUUUCAUAUCAAAAACCUUUCUCCCGAUAGUGAUUAAUGAAAUAAAUCAAUCCAGGGGAGAAACUCUGCAUAGAAGCAUUAAGUUCAAUAAUAAUUUAUACUUUAAACAAAGAAAAGCAAAUCUAAUAUUAUAAAUUGGAAAAGAAAUUAAGCUACAUCAAAUCCCUAGUAUGAGAGUUUAGUUAAACAUGGUACUUAAAUAAAACUCAAUAAUACUUGAUAAAAGUUUUAUAAUCAAUAAGAAUAAUGAAAGAAAUAAACAAGAUUAAGAGUUUAGAAAUAAGAACUAGUUAAUAAUUGACUUCGGAUGGCUUCCUUGAAUCUUGGCACAACUCUUGAAUGCUUGAACUCUUGAAGAAAUAAAACUAUGAGAAUGAGAGAUAUAUGAGAUGGGAUGGAAUGGGAUUGUAUGGGAUUUGGGAUCCUUCCUCUCUUUAUAUAGACUUCUUGGGAUAGAACUUCUACAUUGUUUAGGGAAUAAAGUUCUCAUUAGGCCUAAAAUUUCUCUCAAUCAUGUCUCUUCCAUGUGCAUAAAUUAGAACUUGAUUUGCAUGUUAAGAAAGUAUCCAAGGUGAGCUCAUGAAAAUGAUAAGGAAUGGUUGGAAAUUUUGACUCAAAUCAACACUUGGUAUUUAGCACGGGCGUGGUGGGAAGCACGGUCUGGGCGUGCCAAGUUCUGAGUCUAUGGGGAGUUCAGCAUGGGCCGUGCUUAGAGGCACGCUUGGAUAAGGACUUGUGGCACGGGCGUGCUAGGGAGCACGGCUUGGGCGUGCUAGGCUCUGAGUCUCCACUUGAUUUUCCUUGAUUCCAGCACGGGCGUGCUGAUGUGCAAGGCUUGGGUGUGCUAGAGCCUGAGUGUUUUGCUUUAUUUUGCUCUUUUCUAUGCCAAAACCCUACAAAUUUCCUAAAGACCAAGUGAAUUAUGAUUCAAGAAAGCUUUUAUAUCAAAACAUAAAUAAAAUUAAGAUAAAAACUAAAUAAAGUAAUUAAAAAGACUAAAAACUCCUAAUAAAACUAUAUUGAAAACAUUAUAAAAAUAACACUAUCAAAAUUCCCCAAACUUAAACCAUUGCUUGUCCUCAAGCAAAAAAACUAAAAACUAACAAAGCUAGCUUAAUAUGGUAGGGAAUAAUUAUUCACAAUUUCAUAAGUAUCAAAAGUCAUUAACAUGAGAAUAAAUCAUGUGUUUCCUAUGCUAAUUAUAUUCUAGCAGAAAAAAAUUAAUUUUCAAUAAAACACAUUCCUUAAUUUAAACAUAAGUUAACAAGAUUUUUAACACCAACAAUUAUUCAACUUAUGAUAGGUAGAUAUGAAUUUUCACAAAAAUCAUUUAACCUUUAAAUAAGAGGUUUAAAUAUAAGCUCAACAUUCCCAUAGGUAAAAUUAGUCAUUCCUUCUCCACAAUUGAAAUGCAUACAAUUUAAAAGAUCAAAAUGUCUUUAUUUAGAUUGUAAUGGGGUUUUAAGGAUAUAAUUUUAGCUAAACAAAGAAAAGGACAACACGGUAGAUAAAAGUACAAAGAAUGCUUAAUAUCAUGAUUUUCAUUUAUAUUAAAAAUGAAUUUUUUUUUUUAUUUGUAAAGGGAGACUAACUUUGAAGUCCCUUACUAGCUUGAAAUUAGAGGCAUUUUUGGCAAGGUCUCUUCAUAGCAUUUUUGAUAAUUUCUUCCUUGCUAAAGUUCCCCAAAUUUGAAUUUUUGAUUCCUUGUUUCUUUUAUGGGGUGUUCCUUUUUUUUUUUUUUUUUUGUUUUUUUUUCUCUGCUUUCUUCAUUUGCUAGUAUUAAUGAAAUUUUCUCCAUUUGUUGCUAUGUUUUAAUAAAAAUCAAAUCCUUCAAUUACACAUUAUUGCCCUUAGGGUAGGAAAUUAAUUUGGUUUAAUGGCUAGGUUUAAAUACGGGUGAACAAUAAAUUUUUGAUAUAGGCUUCAAAUUAGUUGCAAAUGUCAUACUUUAACUUAUGGGGUCUAGGCUAAAUAUGAAAUUUUAACAAAAAAUGCUUAAAUCAUCUCUUUAUAAAUGUAAGCAUUUAAAUUUUUGUCUUGAAGAGAAUUUUAAUUUGUUCUAGGAAUGCCAAGGUUAAAUAAAUUUUGAUUAAAACACAUCUAUAUAUCAUAGAAUUCACAAAAUUAAUGUUUAUAAUCUUAGAAAUAAAUAGUUAAAUCAAAAAAUCAUGUUAAGUCAAAAAUUAAAAUUUAAGCUGAAAAAUAAUUAACUUCGCAACUAAAUUCAUUGCAAGUUAAUGAAUUAUGAUAAUUUUUUAAACUUUCUCACAAUUAUUCCAACCAUAUUAAAUUAAUGAAAUAAACAAACAAAAUAAUAAAAAAAAUUAAAAUUUUAACUAAAAUUUUCCUUUCCCCAACUUAAUCUAGCACAUUAUCCCCAAUGUGUGCAAAAAUAAGAUCAAUUCUCCAAACUUAUCAUAAUUCAUCAAUGCAAGGUAAGAAAACAAAAAUAAAGUAGAAAAUGCCUUACCACCAUUGUAUUGACAAAUACAAUAAAAGACAAGGAAACAAAGGGCAUGAUUCUAAUGGCUAAAUUCUUAAAAUAUGAAAGGACAAGAUAACACAAUAAUAAUAAUAAUAAUAUAGACCUAAUUGUUAAGGAAAGAAAGAAGAAAAAAUUGAAAUAAAAAAAUAAUUAAAAAAAUAAAAAAAAAUUUCCUAUAAAAAUAAUUAAAAGCAAAUAAUUAAAGACAAAAAAAAAAAAGUGAACGGUAAGUCAAAAAGAAAGAAAGAAAGAAAGUGGGUAGAGUAGGACAAAAAAAAAAAGAAAAAAAAAAAAAGAAAGAAAGAGAAAAAAAAUAGAGUAAAAAAAAAAAAGUUGCACAGCCAAAGUAAUGAGGUGCACCUGACCGUGCUGCCUGGGAGUGCUAGGUAGCACGGGGGUGCUGAUAAGCACGCUCUGACCGUACUAGAGUCUGACUAUGGACGCAUUUUUCUCUGAAAACAGCACAGGGAUGCUAGGCAGCACGCCCUGACCAUGCUAGAGCCUGACUCUGGCACUUCCAAUCAAAUUUUAAGCCUUUUUAAUCCUAUUUUUGACCUGCAAUAUAAGUACAAAACACCAAAAUAGAAGAAAAUAAUGGUUUAAAGAUGGGAGAACAAAAUGAAAAAUACAAGUAAUAAUAAAAUAAAAUAAAGAUUGCAAAGAAAGAGAAAGAAAAUGAUGGAUUGCCCCCCAUUAGCGUUUGGUUUAAAGUUUUUAAACUCGACUUUUGAGAAGUUUAUCAAAUAACGGCAUUCGCCCAUAGUAUGUAUCAUGUAGUAUCACACAUGGGUCUUGGUUAAAAAUACCCUCAAGAUUGACUAGUUUGAGAAAAUUUAUGCUCAUCAUAUCAACAACAUCUCGCUUUGAAUGAUGAACUUGGGGAAAAAUCUGUAUUAGAUCAUGGAGAACUCAAUUUAUUAAAGGUGGUAUUAUUGGAAAUAAAAUAUCUUCUGGUGGUGUAUAUAUAAAGACCAUUGAUGAGCUCAAAUCAAUAGUCUCAAUUAUUUCUUCAUCCACUCAUAUUGCUUUCUGCUUGUUGUCAUUUAGACUCUCACCCAAGGUCCCUUCCAACCGUACCUCAUUUUUUUUAUGGUCAUUAAUAAUUAUGUCUGGAAAUAAGAAAUUGAGAUUUAAUCCGUUUUCAAAGGAAUAACAUUUUUCACAUGUAGGCUUUACUUCUUCUAAAUAUGCAAUUUCCCAUGAAGUUUUCGCAGGAUUCGCCUUACACUCAUCAUCUUUAUAUCUAUUAAUUGCCAUGGUUAUUAAUUCCGUUGCUUGUACCUCCAAAUUCUUUAUUGCUGCUUGUUGGAUCUUAAAACUCUCGCGAGUGUCAUUCAUAAAUUCAAUGUGAGAUGUAGUAAGGGCAACAAUCAAAUCCUCUAAAUUCUUUUGUUUUUCUUCUUCAUAUUUAAAAUUUUGAGGAUAUUGGUGAUUCCAACCCUGCAGUGAAUGAUCCCAAUGCCAACGGUAGUCAAAAUCUGCCAUAUCAUUUAACAUAUAUAGUACAUCUUCAUAGCUGCUUUCCACAAGGUGAAUACCGGUUGCAGAAAAUCCAUUAGCUACCCAAUUUCUAGUUUCUUCAUCUAAUCCACAAUAGAAUAUGUAAGUGAGAUAUUUAUUUUUGUAAAAUUAUGACAAGAAAAUCUCUCCAACAAUUCAUUAAAUCUUGCCCAAGCUGCAUAAAAUGAUGCCUCUAAAUGUUGUUGAAUAAAACUUGCGACUACUUGUUGAUGAAACAUCUCAAAAUACUUCGCAAGAAAAAUAAAAAAAAUCGAUAAAAUAAAGAAAAACUAGAAAUAAUAUAAACAAAUAUUUCAAUUAACCAACAAAAAAAAUGUCUAAAUUAAUAAUAGGUUAAUUAGUAUUGAUAUUGGUAACGCCAAUCCCCGGCCACGGCGCCAAAAACUUGAUAGUGUUUUCCCAAGUGUACAAAAUCGCUACAAGUAAUAUAUGAUGAGUAGAAUAUCGUUCCCACGAGGAUCGUAUACCAAGUACCAAAAUUAUGUUAACCUAUUAUUAUUUAAACGAUGAAGAAUUUGUUUCAAGAAUUUAAAUUCAACAAGUAAAAUAAGAAAAGAUCAAGCAAGCAAUUAUUGAUUAAAGAAAUCAAGGAUUUAAAACUACUAUGGAUUUUGAUUUCACUUAAUUCUAUCCAACUUUAGUUCAUUAAUCAAUUUUAAUUGUUCAAGUAGGAGAAAUAACUCUACAUUCACUAACAAGCUCUCCCGAUGUAUUAUUAGCCAUUUUAAUUCCGUUUAACCAUCUAUCUUCCAAUAGCACAAUCAAUCAUGAAUUAAAUCAUUAAGUUCUGUAGUCAUUUAUGAUUCAUAAAUUAAGGUUGUUAAUUCAUGAAAAACUCCCCAUGAGUCAAACCAUAUAGCUUCCGCGUCAAGUUGUUAUUCUCAUGUGAUUCAUUAACUUUUUCAUAUUAAAAANNNNNNNNNNNNNNNNNNNNNNNNNNNNNNNNNNNNNNNNUUCUGCCUGGAAGCAUUAAGUUUAUUAAUGAAUCAUAACUUAAACAAAGAAAACAAAUCUAAUAUUAUAAAUUGGAAAAGAAGUUAAGCUACAUUAAAUCCCUAGUAUGAGAAUUUAGUUAGACAUAGUACUUAAAUAAAACUCAAUAAUACUUGAUAGAUAUUCCAUGAUCAAUAAGAAUAAUGAAAGAAAUAAACAAGAUUAAGAAUUUAGAAAUAAGAACUAGUUAACAAUUGGCUUGGAUGACUUCCUUGAACCUUUGCACAACUCUUGAAUGCUUGAACUCUUAAAAAAAGUAAAACUAUCUACAAGACUAAGAGAAUGAGAUGGAAUUGAGUAGAAUGAUAUGGGAUAUGAUAUCCUUCCUCUCUUUAUAUAGACUUCUUGGGAGAGAACUUCUAUAUUGUUUAGGGAAUAAAUCCACAUUGUUUAGGAAAUAAAUUCCAACUUGUUUAGGGAAUAAAGUUCUCAUUAGGCUUUAAAUUUCUCUCAAUCAUGUCUCUUCCACGUGCAUAAAUUAGAACUUGAUUUGCAUGUCUAGCAGAGCUGUAAAACCAUAUCUAGCGGCCCUAGAUAAAAAGAAAACUGUACAGCUUUUAGCAGUUGGGUACAAUUGGCUUAUUUUACUCUUAUAAUAACUCUCACGGGAAUCAUCUCUUCAUUAAUAAGAAUGUUGAUGCUCAUGAAUUCAUUAUUUGCCCUUCUUGUUAUGACAUUUCACAAUCUGUUUGAUAUUUCUUAUAUUUUCCAUCAAAUGAUCAAUUUUGUUUAAUUAUUACAUCAAGUUAUCCGUUUGUGUGAAUAAUCUGUUAAUAAUUAAUCAUUAGUUUCACAAUCUUGUCUUUGACUGGUUCUUUGUUGUAUCUUUGUCGUUUUGUGUUUCACUAUUUUCCACACAGGAUAGACCAUGGAAGUUUCGUACUUAGGCUCAAGCAACCCGCCAUUGCCCAUAUGCAAGGCUGUAUUCGACAAUGACAUUAAAACAAGAACCAGUCAACUAAGAAAAAAAUAUAUUAAAAGAAAUUCCAAUAUACCUAAGAUUAAUCGAUCAUUGUAAAUGACCUUCAAUUUAGAAGAGAGAAUAUAAUACACAGAUGAUGGAAGAGAUAUCAGAGACAGCAAAAGCUUAUUAUGCAAACUUAUCAGAAAAGCAGAAGCGAUUAGCAAAAGAUUUUUUCAACGAAAUGGAUAAAGAUGGAGAUGGAAAAAUUACUUUCGAUGAAUAUGAGCAAUACAUUAAGACAAAGAAAGGCUUUAAAACAAUUGCUUCUUCGGAUUUCUUUAGGAAGCUCGAUAAGGACGGAAAUGGCUCAUUGGAUUUCGAAGAAAUUUGUGACUGUACACUACAAAUGCGCAAGCGAAAGAGUUUUCUAUUGCGAUGAGUGUAGAGUCUUUCUUGAUAGAGUCUAUUUUACUUGUGUCCAGCGCUUCAAUGGCUCCGGUAAUACUUAUGAUCUCUGUGUUUCUUGCUAUCGCGAUAAGAAUAUCAUUAAUCAUCACAAGGAUGCUGUGUUUCUCGAUAAUUACACGAUGCUGCAAGCCAAGAGGAAUCAGAAUAAUGCAUCAGCAAGUAAGGUAAAAUAUUUUGAAAAUUCAGAUAUAAUCUUGAAAUUCAUAUUUUAAAGUAUUUUACUUUCCUGGAAAUAAUUAAAUCUGUAUUAUGAUGUUUAUCUUUUACCAGGGAAACAAAGGAGUUGAGGAGACCGUUGAACUUGCAACGUUUGGUAUUGAAACUACGUCUAAUGUUGUUAACUUAUGUAACCAAUUGUAAAUUUGCUCAAAAGAAAUCUUCUGGAUUGUUGUGUUUUUUCUUUUUAAACACAUCUUCGCUCAAAUAGUACAUGAAGAUUGUAUUUGUGUAGCUUAUUAUUGAGUAUAUAUUCAAUUUCCAAGUACUUUUCCUGGAAUGGGAUAGAGGGAUAACCAUUGAAGACUUUUGUAAACGUCUACAGGUCUGUGAAACAGCUUGUACAUAAUUUACGACUCUGCGCCUUUGUCAUUGACCUUGGACUUGGUAAGUCGUCUCCUGUUACCUUUUUCUCAAUUUGUGACUUACUUCAUAAGAAAGAAAGACUUAGACGACGCCUAAAAUGGUCUCACUGGACUACAGAAUUGUGGAAGACCGUGUUCAUUUGUGAGAAAAAUAAUUAGUUUUCCAAAAGAAUAGGUUACAGUGGCUCAUUUUUUAUAUAGGAAAUUCCCUUUACCAUUUUCUAGAGGAUUCUGUAAUUACAUUUGUAAUUCUUUUUCGCAUAAAUGAAGAGUUCGUAAUUUGUUUUUAAAUAGAUAAUUAAAUCCAGUUUUUAAAUAGAUAAUUAAAUCAAGUUAAUUCUCAUCUCAAAAUAAAAAAUCUAGGUAAUUGUAAUUAAUAAGAUAAUUGAAAUAGUUUACAUAUACGACAUAUUACUGUUUACUCAAUGUUCUAAAACUUGAUUGUCAAUAUUUUCUGAAACCAUUAUCGUUCAAGAAAAAUAAAUGAGUUAAGGUUGUAUUAGAGAAUAAUUUUUAAAUGGCUUUUUUAAAAAUAUCAUGGCAUUGGAACUAACUUUUUAGAGGUUACGGUAGCAUUGUGCGAAAAGUUAAUUUAUAUAACGUUUAACUCUUGGCGUUUCAUGAAAAGAUAUUCAAACAGUUAACAGCUAAACGCUAUUAAAACAGCAAAUUUUGCCAAACAAACCCUAAGUUUAAUGAACAAUUUAUAAUUUUCUUACUUUGACUUUCAUUUAAUCAAAUAUUUGAAAUGUUUUAAGAUCAGCUGUAUUUCUUAAUACACAGUGUGGAUUUGUUUUAGUAAUUAUUUGAUCUCAAGUUUGUAAAAUUAAGGGUUGAGAUAUUUGACAAUAAGAAAUUUUAAGCAAAUGAAUAUAAGAAAAAAAAAAGAAAAUUUUAAAGUAAAAGUGGCAUUUGUAAUGCAUAAAUUAAAGAAAACAUUUUGAAAUAAAAAAAAAAACUGAGAAGUAUUUAAUUAUUUUUUUUUCUUAAUUUUAAAUUCCAAGUUGACGAAACAAGGGAAAAGUCGUCCAUAACUAUACCCACCGUCUAAUUUUUUUUUCCUUUUUAUUUUUAAAUGAAUAUAUUUAUAUUCAUAAAAAUCUGUAAUUAGAAUCUUUUCUGUCCUUGACGAAAAGGCCAAUUCAACUUGUGGAAAAGCUUGAAGAGACCAGCUGUUGGCAACUGCAAUUAGCAGCCAUUUAACAAUUCCUUUGCAGUUGAGUAUUCAAUUCAACUCAACUCAACUUGUGGAAACUUUUGAAAAAAAAAAAAAAAAAGAAAAAGAAAACUCAACUUGUGGAAAAUGUAUUUGAAUAUGUAUAUAUAUAUAUAUAUAUAUAUAUAUUACUAUAUAAAGUAAAAAAAAAUAUAUAUAUAUAUAUAUUUUUUACUUUAUAUAGUAAUAUGAUAUCAUGGAACUCAUACUGCUGCGAACACUGCAUCGACCUUUUCGGACCAUGGAAGUAAUUUUGCUGAUGUCGCAUCCAAUGUUUCGGAACAUGGAAGUAAUUUUGCUGAGCAUUUAAGUACUGCUGCUGAACUUGCAUCAAAUUGUUCUGUCAUGUAAAAUGUAUAUUUUGCAGCCUUCAAAAAAAAAGAGAGCUGUAUAACUUCUGUGCUUGACUAUAUUUCUUGUUGUUUUAAUUUUAUUUUAUAACUAGAUAAAAGCUUGCCCAACGCGUGGAAUUAUUUUAUUGUUAUUUUCCACUGUAAUCUUCUUAAUAAAUGAAAAUAAAUAGUCAUCGCUGCAGUCUAAUUUUUAAUAUUGUGAAUUUAAAUUUAAAAAGUGUACCAAUGUCCAAACAUAAGUUGUCUAACCUGAUUGUAAAUUUAAAUACUAGAUUAGAAAAGUACUAAGGAACGUAUCUGAGUAUUGUAUGUCCCCUACCACAGAAAAUUACACAUUAUCCAAUAGGUUAAUAUGAUAAAUCAAUUAAAAAAAAAAAAAGAUAAUGGUGAAAGAGGAGAGUGCCAAGUCAGAUUCUUAAUGAUAUAUAUAUAUAUAUAUGUUUUAAUUUUACGAUUAUAGAUAGUAAAAUAUGCCAUUUUAAAUCAUAUUCAAGCAUAACAAAACAAAUUUAAAAUUUCACUCAAAUUUAAAUUCCUUAAUAUUACUUAAUUAAUCCAUUUUUUUUAUUCAAAUCUAAGUUUGAUAAUUUAAAUCCAUCGAUUUGAAAUUAAAACAUUGAAUAUAAAAUUUUUAUUUGAUCUAUAAAUAUUAAAAAAAGAGAAAAUUUUCUAAGUUUGAAAAUUAAAUUUAUGCUCACAAAGAGGCUUCUUGCCCAUAUAUUGAGUUUGUCGCGAAUAAAGUAGCAUAAAUUACCGAUUAUAAGCUUCAUUUAAUAUUUACUUUUGAAUAGAAAAUUUAGAUGUUUAGACUUUAAUUAGUUCAUGUUGAAAUUAGAAUAAAAAUGAAAAUGCAUGUUUAAAUUCAAAAAUUUAUUUUCCAUACAUAUUAAAUUGAUUUUGAAAUUAAAAGUAGAAUGAGUUUAAAAUGUAAAUAAAUAAUAUACUAUUUGCUUUUGCAAACUUUAUUUUUACUUGUAAAAUCAAAAAUUUAAAACCUGGAGUUAGUUGCCUGUAUAUACACAAGGGCGCCCUAAUUACCACUUGCAACCUUAGGCUCAAUUAUCAAUUGUUAGUCCAUAGGGUCUGGUCUGUAGCUUAAAAUUAAGCUUAUUCACGUUUCAAAUUCAAUGAUUAGCUAUGAGGGAAAUAGGAUAGGAUAGGAUAGGAAAUAUUAUCCUGUUUGCAUUCAGACAACACUUCAAAUCUGUUUACGCUUCCCAAGUCAAAUUGCUACUACUAUCUUACAAUUUGUCAAGCAGCCUUUAUGGAACCGUCGGGAGUAAAUAUAUGUUUUGGAGUUUGAUUUAUAAUUUUACUGCUUGUAUUUGUGUCACACCCGUUGAAAAUAUAUAUUAAAUAAAUUUAUAUUCUCAAAUUCUAAUCAAUUUAAAUUUGAAAUUCAUUUAAAAUACAUUUUGUUGCUAAUAAUGAUGAGUAGCUAUUAUCAAAAUCUUAUUUAAUACAGUAGGUAAUGAGUAGCAUAUUGUUAAAAUAGUAAUUUUACUGUUUGUACCGGUUCCAAACCUCUCUAUAACUAUUCAUAUCUUUUUUAAAUAAAAUGAAAGAGUUGAGAAAUAUCCUCAAAUACAUGUUACAUUCUUUUCGGUAAGGACAAUGAUUUAUAAAUUUUAAUAAUAUAAUUAUGAUUUACAAAACAUUUGUAAUUUAAUUUCAUAUGAAUUUGAAUUAAUUAUUAAAACCCAUCACUAUUUAAUUAGUUUUUUCUUAAUUUUAAAUUCCAAUUGGACAAAACAAGGGAAAACUCGUCAAUAACUAUACCCACAGUAUCUUUAGAUGGAUAAGAAUCUAAUUAGGUUCUUUCUGUCCCACACGAAAGGCCAAGUCAAUUUGUGGAAAAGCUUAAAGAGACAAAUUUAAUUUUUUAAUUUAAAAAAAAAAAAANNNNNNNNNNGAAAAGUGAGCCUCAAGCAAUACUCGGAAUACUUUAAACAAAGAGGGCUUGUAGAGCUUACUUAUCCCGAUUUGUUCAAAGCGUUGGAUACAAAUGGAGAUGGCAGACUCGAUUUCGAUGAAUUUAUCACUGUCUACUACCUCUGCAUGAACAAUAAACUGAUAUAUUGUGAAGAAUGCGGGGUCUUUCUCUCUGGAUCCUACAUGAGUUGCCUUCAAUGCUUCAAUAAUGGUUCUGGGGAUCCCUAUAACAUUUGUUAUGAUUGUUAUAGCAGAAACAACAUUGAUCAUCAUAAGGAUGCUUACUUUGUCGAUAAUAUAAAACUCCAUUGCUUCGCAGUUAAAGGCUCUGCAGUUAAUGAAGGCUCCGCAGUUAAUGAAGGCUCCGCAGUUAAUGAAGGCUCCGCAGUUAAUGAAGGCUCCGCAGUUAAUGAAGGCUCCGCAGUUAAUGAAGGCUCCGCAGUUAAUGAAGGCUCCGCAGUUAAUGAAGGCUCCGCAGUUAAUGAAGGCUCCGCAGUUAAUGAAGGCUCCGCAGUUAAUAAAGGCUCUGCAGAUAAUAAUGGCUUCACAACUCGAAGCUCCGGUGGUAAGGUAUGUAUAUAUUAUAUAAUAUAAUUCUGAUACUCUUAGAAAUAUCAAACAACAAAUCUUCAUGCAUAUAACAAUUAAUAUCCAUCUUGAUUUUUCAGAUGACUACGAAGGAUAAGCUUACAGCAGCUCUAUUAGGGGUUUCUGUGGUGAAUUUAGGAAUAAAUACUGCAAAGUUUGUGGCAACUAGUAAACCAGAAUUAUGGGAACAAGCAAAACAAGUUUUCGAUGGUCCCCAAAAAAAUACUUCAGGUGCUGCUGAAUCUGCAUUCGAAUUGUCCGAUCAUGGAAGUAAUGCUGUUAAUUCCGCAGCCGACUUGUCUGAUCAUGGAACUAAUAUUGCUGCUAACACUGCAUGGAACUUUUCGGACCAUGGAAGUAAUUUUGCGGAUGUUGCAUCCAAUUUUGCGGACCAUGGAAGUAAUGUUGCUGAUGUCGCAUCCAAUUUUCCUGACCAUUUAAGCACUGCUGUUGAAAUUGCAUCAAAUUGUACUGUCAUGUAAAAUUUAUAUUUUGCAGCCUUCAACGAAGUGUAAAAUAUCUACUUCUUUUUGUUUAAUUUCAUCUUAUAAUAAUAAAGCUUGCUGGUUUGGAUUUAGUUCCCAGGAGAUGCAGAGCUAUUUGCACAAUACUUUUUCUUAAUAAUAAAUAAUCUCGUUUUGCUGAUAAAAAAAAUAAAAUAUUCCAUUUCAAAUCAUAAUUGAACUUAUCCAUGGCCUCCCAUUCAUCAGACAACAGAACAAAAUUUUAAAUUUUCACUCAAAUUUAAAUUCCUUAAUAUUUCUUAAUUAAUUCAUUUUUCUAUUCGAAUCUAAGUUUGAUAAUUUAAAACCAUCAAUUUGAAAUUAAAACAUUGAGUAUAAAAUUUGUAUUUGAUCUAUAAAUAUAACAAAAAAAAGGAGAAAAAAAAAAUGGAAGUUUGAAAAUUAUGUUUAUGCUCGCAAAGAAGCCUUUUGCCCAUAAAAGAGUUUGUCGCCAAUAAAGAGUAAUAAAACAACUGCUAAUUAUAAGCUUCGUUUAAUAUUUCCCUUGAAAUAGAUAAUUUGGAGGUUUAGACUUUAAUUAUUUCACCUUUAAAUUAUAAUAAAAACGGAAAUGUAUGUUUAAAUUCAAAAAAUCAUUUUUAGUUAAAUUGACUUUAUAUGUUACUUCCAGACAUAUUAAACUGAUUUUAAAAUUAAAAUUAGAAUGAAUUUAAUAUGUAAUAAAUAAAUGUAUUUGCCUUUGCAAACUUUAUUUUUACUUGCAAAGUCAAAAAUUUGAAACCUAAUGUCAUCGUGUGGUGUGUGUGUACACAUAAGGGUGCCCUAAUUACCACUUCAGCAAUUCCUUAUUAAGCUUAUUAACACUUCAAAUUCAGUGAUUAGCUAUGAGGAAAAUGGGAUAGGAAAUGUUGUCCUGUUAGGAUUCAGAGAAACACUUGAAAUACAAUUUGAUACUAUCUUACAAUUUGUUAAGCAGCCUUUAUGGAAACUGUGGGAAGAACUUGAUGUCUUGCAAUUUGUUAAGCAGCCUUCGUGGAAACUGUGGGAGAGUAAAUAUAUGUUUUUCGAAUUAAUAUAGAAUGAAUAGAUCCGUCUCUUCUUCCAUUCAUCACAUAUAUCGUGAAGGAAAUCAAGCCGUAUAUCUUUUGACCACUCAUCAUAGAGUUCAUCAUACUUCUCUUUCUUUUAUCUCUUUUAAUUUUUUGCCUCAUUUGAUUAAAGGAAUUGUAUUAUUGAAAGUUAUAGGACUAAAUAUUUGAGAUAUAAAUAAAAUAAAGAUAUUUUUUGCUAAAAAAAAAAAAAUAGAUCCGAAUUUAAUUAAAAUACAUUUUAUUGCUAAUAAUGAGUAGGAUAUCCACGAGUAUCUAUUAUAAAAAAACCUGUUUAAUAUAAGCAGAUAACAGAUAAUAUAUAUCAAAAACUUAAAUGCGUAGCCCUAGCUAUUUAUACUAUAAAUAAUGAUUUUAUCGUCUGUGCCAUUUUAAACUUUUCUAUGACCAUUUGUACUUUUAUUAAAUGGAUUGGAGGAGGCGAGUAUUUUACUUGUCGGCUUCUUCCCAAUAAGGACAGCUAUUACUCAUUAGGUAGUGAAUUAUUUACUAAUUUAAUAAAAUAAAAUAUGAGUUGAUGAUUAAAAAAAAAAAAAGGUCCAAAGACGAAAGGUUCUCUGCAAUUGGCAGCUUUGAGAUUCGGUAUGAACUGUAGGGCAACUUCUUUCCAAUUGAAUAUUCAACUUUGGCCGACCAAUUGAAAUACAUGUAGGAAGCAAUAUAUACAGGGAAAAUCACAAAACCAAAAAGCAAAAGCAAAAAAUAGAAAAAAAAACCCAACGGAUAUAGAUUAAAAGAUGGAGGAGAUACGACAGGCUGCUUCAGCUUAUUACAGAAACUUGGCAACUGCAGAUAAGCAGAUGGCAAUCAAUGGGUUCAAUUUAAUGGAUAAAACUGGAAAUGGGACAAUUAGCCUCAGGCGAUAUUCAGAAUACUUCAAACAAAGAGGGCUUAUAGAGCUUACUUAUCCUGAAUUUUUCAAAGCAUUGGAUUCGGAUGGAGAUGACCGGCUUGAUUUCGAUGAAUUUAUCACUGUCUACUACCUCUGCAUGAAUAAUAAACUGAUAUUCUGUGAAGAAUGUAUGGUGUUUCUAUCUGGAUCGUACAUGAGUUGCCUUCAAUGCUUCAAUAGUGGUUCUGCUGGAAGCAUUAAGUUUAUUAAUGAAUCAUAACUUAAACAAAGAAAACAAAUCUAAUAUUAUAAAUUGGAAAAGAAGUUAAGCUACAUUAAAUCCCUAGUAUGAGAAUUUAGUUAGACAUAGUACUUAAAUAAAACUCAAUAAUACUUGAUAGAUAUUCCAUGAUCAAUAAGAAUAAUGAAAGAAAUAAACAAGAUUAAGAAUUUAGAAAUAAGAACUAGUUAACAAUUGGCUUGGAUGACUUCCUUGAACCUUUGCACAACUCUUGAAUGCUUGAACUCUUAAAAAAAGUAAAACUAUCUACAAGACUAAGAGAAUGAGAUGGAAUUGAGUAGAAUGAUAUGGGAUAUGAUAUCCUUCCUCUCUUUAUAUAGACUUCUUGGGAGAGAACUUCUAUAUUGUUUAGGGAAUAAAUCCACAUUGUUUAGGAAAUAAAUUCCAACUUGUUUAGGGAAUAAAGUUCUCAUUAGGCUUUAAAUUUCUCUCAAUCAUGUCUCUUCCACGUGCAUAAAUUAGAACUUGAUUUGCAUGUCUAGCAGAGCUGUAAAACCAUAUCUAGCGGCCCUAGAUAAAAAGAAAACUGUACAGCUUUUAGCAGUUGGGUACAAUUGGUUUAUUUUACUCUUAUAAUAACUCUCACGGGAAACAUCUCUUCAUUAAUAAGAAUGUUGAUCCUCAUGAAUUCAUUAUUUGACUUCUUGUUAUGACAUUUCACAAUCUGUUUGAUAUUUCUUAUAUUUUCCGUCAAAUGAUCAAUUUUGUUUAAUUAUUAUUACAUCAAGUUACCCGUUUGUGUGAAUUACGAUAUUAUAUCAUGCAAUAUACAAUAAUCUGUUAAUAAUUAAUCAUUAGUUUCACAAUCUUGUCUUUGACUGGUUCAUUGUUGUAUCUUUGUCGUUUUGUGUUUCACUAUUUUCCACGCAGGAUAGACCAUGGAAGUUUCGUAUUUAGGCUCAAGCAGCCCGCCAUUGCCCAUAUGCAAGGCUGUAUUCGACAAUGACAUUAAAACAAGAAUCAGUCAACUAAGAAAAGAAUAUAUUAAAAGAAAUUCCAAAAUACCUAAGAUUAAUCAAUCAUUAUAAAUGAUCUUCAAUUUAGAAGAGAGAAUAUAAUAUACAGAUGAUGGAAGAGAUAUCAGAGACGGCAAAAGCUUAUUAUGCAAACUUAUCAGAAAAGCAGAAGCGAUUAGCAAAAGAUUUUUUCAACGAAAUGGAUAAAGAUGGAGAUGGAAAAAUUACUUUCGAUGAAUAUGAGCAAUACAUUAAGACAAAGAAAGGCUUUAAAACAAUUGCUUCUUCGGAUUUCUUUAGGAAGCUCGAUAAGGACGGAAAUGGCUCAUUGGAUUUCGAUGAAUUUGUGACUGUACACUACAUAUGCGCAAGCGAAAGAGUUUUCUAUUGCGAUGAGUGUAGAGUCUUUCUUGAUAGAGUCUAUUUUACUUGUGUCCAGUGCUUCAAUGGCUCCGGUAAUACUUAUGAUCUCUGUGUUUCUUGCUAUCGCGAUAAGAAUAUCAUUAAUCAUCACAAGGAUGCUGUGUUUCUCGAUAAUUACACGAUGCUGCAAGCCAAGAGGAAUCAGAAUAAUGCAUCAGCAAGUAAGGUAAAAUAUUUUGAAAAUUCAGAUAUAAUCUUGAAAUUCAUAUUUUAAAGUAUUUUACUUUCCUGGAAAUCGAAAUAAUUAAAUCUCUAUUAUGAUGUAGGGAAACAAAGGAGUUAAGGAGACCGUUGAACUGGCAAAGUUUGGUAUUGAAACUACGUCUAAUGUUGUUAACUUAUGUAACCAAAUGUAAAUUUGCUCAAAAGAAAUCUUCUGGAUUGUUGUGUUUUUUCUUUGUAAACCCAUCUUCACUCAAAUAAUACAUAAAGAUUGUAUUUGUGUAGCUUAUUAUUAUGUAUAUAUUCAAUUUCCAAGUACUUUUCCUGGAAUGGGAUAGAGGAAUAACCAUUGAAGACUGGAUGCUUCAGCUUAUUAUAGAAGCUUGCCACCUGCAGAAAUGCAAAAGGCAAAGGAUGGGUUCAGUGCAAUGGAUAAAACUGGAAGUGGAAAAGUGAGCCUCAAGGAAUACUCGGAAUAUUUUAAACAAAGAGGGCUUGUAGAGCUUACUUAUCCCGAUUUGUUCAAAGCAUUGGAUACAAAUGGAGAUGGCAGACUCGAUUUCGAUGAAUAUAUCACUGUCUACUACCUCUGCAUGAACAAUAAACUGAUAUAUUGUGGAGAAUGCGGGGUCUUUCUCUCUGGAUCCUACAUGAGUUGCCGUCAAUGCUUCAAUAAUGGUUCUGGGGAUCCCUAUAAUAUUUGUUAUGAUUGUUAUAGCAGAAACAACAUUGAUC
This 19731-nucleotide long non-coding RNA is filed under the name Jatropha curcas. Its description in RNAcentral is "long non-coding RNA (JCUR_LNC001898)". The stretch from base 328 to 446 matches the Rfam family "U5 spliceosomal RNA". Lineage: Eukaryota; Viridiplantae; Streptophyta; Magnoliopsida; Malpighiales; Euphorbiaceae. The record is from RNAcentral.